RNAcentral lists this ribosomal RNA (463 nucleotides) under uncultured bacterium. Its description in RNAcentral is "partial 16S ribosomal RNA". It matches the Rfam family "Bacterial small subunit ribosomal RNA", at positions 29 to 507 of the family's 1533-position model. The record is from RNAcentral.
AGUGAACGCUGGCGGCGUGCUUAAUACAUGCAAGUCGAACGAUGAAGUCCUAGCUUGCUAGGAUGGAUUAGUGGCGCACGGGUGAGUAAUAUAUAGUUAAUCUGCCUUGCACUGAGGAACAACAGUUGGAAACGAUUGCUAAUACCUCAUACUCCAACUUUACAUAAGUUAAGUUGGGAAAGUCUUUUCGGUGCAAGAUGAGACUAUAUCGUAUCAGCUAGUUGGUAAGGUAAUGGCUUACCAAGGCUAUGACGCGUAACUGGUCUGAGAGGAUGAUCAGUCACAUUGGAACUGAGACACGGUCCAAACCCCUACGGGAGGCAGCAGUAAGGAAUAUUGUGCAAUGGGGGAAACCCUGACGCAGCAACGCCGCGUGGAGGAUGACACUUUUCGGAGCGUAAACUCCUUUUGUUAGGGAAGAAUAAUGACGGUACCUAACGAAUAAGCACCGGCUAACUCCGUG